Molecule: ribosomal RNA, 253 nt
Filed under: uncultured bacterium
Lineage: Bacteria
Description: partial 16S ribosomal RNA
Rfam family: Bacterial small subunit ribosomal RNA
Source: RNAcentral
GACAUGGCUCAGAACGAACGCUGGCGGCAGGCUUAACACAUGCAAGUUGAACGGGAUUUGUGUGGUGCUUGCACCAUAUAAUGAGAGUAGCGCACUGGUGAGUAACACGUGGGAACGUGCCUUUUAGUGGGGGAUAACAUCUGGAAACGGAUGCUAAUACCGCAUACGCCCUGAGGGGGAAAGAUUUAUUGCUAAGAGGUCGGCCCGCGGUAGAUUAGGCAGUUGGUGGGGUAAAGGCCUACCAAACCUACGA